Molecule: ribosomal RNA, 157 nt
Filed under: Acremonium alternatum
Lineage: Eukaryota; Fungi; Ascomycota; Sordariomycetes; Hypocreales; Bionectriaceae
Description: 5.8S ribosomal RNA
Rfam family: 5.8S ribosomal RNA
About the family: 5.8S ribosomal RNA (5.8S rRNA) is a component of the large subunit of the eukaryotic ribosome. It is transcribed by RNA polymerase I as part of the 45S precursor that also contains 18S and 28S rRNA.
Source: RNAcentral
CAGCAACGGAUCUCUUGGUUCUGGCAUCGAUGAAGAACGCAGCAAAAUGCGAUAAGUAAUGUGAAUUGCAGAAUUCAGUGAAUCAUCGAAUCUUUGAACGCACAUUGCGCCCGCCAGUAUUCUGGCGGGCAUGCCUGUCUGAGCGUCAUUUCAACCC